Molecule: ribosomal RNA, 253 nt
Filed under: uncultured Opitutus sp.
Lineage: Bacteria; Pseudomonadati; Verrucomicrobiota; Opitutia; Opitutales; Opitutaceae
Description: partial 16S ribosomal RNA
Rfam family: Bacterial small subunit ribosomal RNA
Source: RNAcentral
UACAGAGACUGCAAGCGUUAUUCGGAUUCACUGGGCGUAAAGGGUGCGCAGGCGGCCGUGUGUGUUGGGCGUGAAAGCCUGGAGCUUAACUCCAGAAUUGCACUCAAAACUACACGGCUAGAGCAUUGGAGAGGGUAGCGGAAUUCACGGUGUAGCAGUGAAAUGCGUAGAUAUCGUGAGGAACACCAGAGGCGAAGGCGGCUACCUGGACAAUUGCUGACGCUCAGGCACGAAAGCGUGGGGAGCAAAAGGG